UGUUGCUUGCAAGGGCGUAUGGUGGAUGCCUUGGCAGACAGGACCGAUGAAGGACGUUUGAGGCUGCGAUAUGCCUCGGGGAGCCGCCAACAGGGCUUUGAUCCGAGGAUUUCCGAAUGGGGGAACCCACCGACCGUCAUGGGUCGGUACCGGCUUCGGCCGGGGGGUACGCAGGGAAGUGAAACAUCUCAGUACCUGCAGGAAAGGAUAUUCCGUGAGUAGUGGCGAGCGAAAGCGGAUGAUGGCCAAACCUUGCGCGUGUGAUACCCGUCGGGGGUUGCGCGCGGGGUGUUGCGGGAUCGCGUGCGCCGGCUCCGACGGGCCGGCCGGCAGUUGCAGAAAACCAUGUGUCAGGGGAACCGGGUUGAAUACCGGGCCGCAGAGGGUGAGGGCCCCGUACCUGAACGCGCAUGGUCUGCCGAUCGCGUCUCCCAAGUAGCACGGGUCCCGUGGAACCCCGUGCGAAUCCGCCCAGACCGUUGGGUAAGCCUGAAUAUUCCUGUCUGACCGAUAGCGAACGAGUACCGUGAGGGAAAGGUGAAAAGUACCCCGGGAGGGGAGUGAAACAGUCUCUGAAACCGUGCGCCUACAAUCCGUCGGAGCCCUUUUGUGGGGUGACGGCGUGCCUAUCGAAAAAUGAGUCUGCGAGUCAGUGGCAUGUGGCGAGCAUAACCCGUGUGGGGUAUGCGUAGCGAAGGCGAGUCUUAAAAGGCGUUUGAGUCGCGUGUCCUGGACCCGAAGCGGGAUGAUCUAGCCCUGAGCAGGUUGAAGCGCGGGUAAGACCGCGUGGAGGACCGAACCCACCUGGGUUGAAAACCGGGGGGAUGACUUGGGGCUAGGGGUGAAAGGCCAAUCAAAUUCCGUGAUAGCUGGUUCUCUCCGAAAUGCAUUUGGGUGCAGCGUCGGGUCAUUACGUCCCGGGGGUAGAGCUACUGGAUGCUUGCGGGCCCGUAUCGGGUACCAACAGCAACCAAACUCCGAAUACCGGUGACGCGUAUCCCGGCAGUGAGUCGGCGGGGGAUAAGCUUCGUCGUCGAAAGGGAAACAGCCCAGACCGUCGUCUAAGGUCCCGAAGCGUGUGCUAAGUGGGAAAGGAUGUGGAGUCGCAUAGACAGCCAGGAGGUUGGCUCAGAAGCAGCCACCCUUGAAAGAGUGCGUAACAGCUCACUGGUCUAGUGGUUCCGCGCCGACAAUGUAGCGGGGCUCAAGCACACCACCGAAGACGCGGCAGUAUUUUGUACUGGGUAGGAGAGCGUCCCAUGAGGGGCGAAGCGGCCGUGUGAACGCGCCGUGGACUUCAUGGGAGUGAGAAUGCAGACAUGAGUAGCGAGAGACGGGUGAAGAUCCCGUCCGCUGGAUGACCAAGGGUUCCAGGGCCACGUUCAUCGUCCCUGGGUGAGUCGGGUCCUAAGGCGAGGCCGACAGGCGUAGUCGAAUGGAUGAACGGGUCGAUAUUCCCGUACCGGCUUUCAGCCGCCAAAACCGAGGCUUGGAGUACUAACCUCCGGGUCCGGGCUUACUGCUCCUUCGGGGGCGGGAUGCCCUGGCCUGUUGGGACCGAUCCUUGUAGUAGGUCAGCGCAGGAGUGACGCAGAAGGGUAGCCGGCCGCGGAGGUGGUCUUCCGUGGUCAAGCACGCAGGGCGUGGGACAGGCAAAUCCGUCCCGCAUGGGUCCGAGGUGCGAUGAUGGGGGCCUUAUGGCCCGAUAUCCGGUGAUCCCGGCUGCCGAGAAAAGCUUCGGCGUCAGGCUCAAAGCCGCCCGUACCCCAAACCGACACUGGUGGUCAGGUAGAGAAUACCAAAGCGAUCGAGCGAAUCCUGGUCAAGGAACUCGGCAAAUCACUCCCGUUCCUUCGGUUUAAGGGAGACCCCCGAUGGUGAACACACUUGCUGUGGGAGCUUUUGGGGGUGGCACAGACCAGGGGGUAGCGACUGUUUACCAAAAACACAGGUGCAUGCGAAGGCGAAAGCCGCUGUAUAUGCACUGACGCCUGCCCGGUGCCGGAAGGUUAAGAGGAUCCGUCAGCCUUCGGGUGAAGCGGUGAAUUCAAGCCCCGGUAAACGGCGGUGGUAACUAUAACCAUCCUAAGGUAGCGAAAUUCCUUGUCGGGUAAGUUCCGACCUGCACGAAUGGCGUA
Molecule: ribosomal RNA, 2138 nt
Filed under: human gut metagenome
Description: bacterial LSU rRNA
Rfam family: Bacterial large subunit ribosomal RNA
Source: RNAcentral